UACGAAGGGGGCUAGCGUUGCUCGGAAUGACUGGGCGUAAAGGGCGCGUAGGCGGUUUGUACAGUCAGGUGUGAAAUUCCCGGGCUCAACCUGGGGGCUACACUUGAUACGUAUGGACUGGAGUGGGGAAGAGGGUCGUGGAAUUCCCAGUGUAGAGGUGAAAUUCGUAGAUAUUGGGAAGAACACCGGUGGCGAAGGCGGCGACCUGGUCCUUGACUGACGCUGAGGCGCGAAAGCGUGGGGAGCAAACAGG
This 253-nucleotide ribosomal RNA is filed under the name uncultured bacterium. RNAcentral's name for it is "partial 16S ribosomal RNA". It matches the Rfam family "Bacterial small subunit ribosomal RNA", at positions 524 to 776 of the family's 1533-position model. The record is from RNAcentral.